CCUGUGAGGGUUGCUGGAGGUAUCAGAAGUGCGAAUGCUGACAUAAGUAACGAUAAAGCGGGUGAAAAGCCCGCUCGCCGGAAGACCAAGGGUUCCUGUCCAACGUUAAUCGGGGCAGGGUGAGUCGACCCCUAAGGCGAGGCCGAAAGGCGUAGUCGAUGGGAAACGGGUUAAUAUUCCCGUACUUGGUGUUACUGCGAAGGGGGGACGGAGAAGGCUAUGUUGGCCGGGCGACGGUUGUCCCGGUUUAAGCGUGUAGGUGUGUGUUCCAGGUAAAUCCGGUUCACUUUAACACUGAGGCGUGACGACGAGGCACUACGGUGCUGAAGCAACAAAUGCCCUGCUUCCAGGAAAAGCCUCUAAGCAUCAGGUAACACGAAAUCGUACCCCAAACCGACACAGGUGGUCAGGUAGAGAAUACCAAGGCGCUUGAGAGAACUCGGGUGAAGGAACUAGGCAAAAUGGUGCCGUAACUUCGGGAGAAGGCACGCUGACACGUAGGUGAAGUGAUUUACUCAUGGAGCUGAAGUCAGUCGAAGAUACCAGCUGGCUGCAACUGUUUAUUAAAAACACAGCACUGUGCAAACACGAAAGUGGACGUAUACGGUGUGACGCCUGCCCGGUGCCGGAAGGUUAAUUGAUGGGGUCAGCGUAAGCGAAGCUCCUGAUCGAAGCCCCGGUAAACGGCGGCCGUAACUAUAACGGUCCUAAGGUAGCGAAAUUCCUUGUCGGGUAAGUUCCGACCUGCACGAAUGGCGUAAUGAUGGCCAGGCUGUCUCCACCCGAGACUCAGUGAAAUUGAACUCGCUGUGAAGAUGCAGUGUACCCGCGGCAAGACGGAAAGACCCCGUGAACCUUUACUAUAGCUUGACACUGAACAUUGAGCCUUGAUGUGUAGGAUAGGUGGGAGGCUUUGAAGUGUGGACGCCAGUCUGCAUGGAGCCGACCUUGAAAUACCACCCUUUAAUGUUUGAUGUUCUAACGUGGACCCGUAAUCCGGGUUGCGGACAGUGUCUGGUGGGUAGUUUGACUGGGGCGGUCUCCUCCUAAAGAGUAACGGAGGAGCACGAAGGUUGGCUAAUCCUGGUCGGACAUCAGGAGGUUAGUGCAAUGGCAUAAGCCAGCUUGACUGCGAGCGUGACGGCGCGAGCAGGUGCGAAAGCAGGUCAUAGUGAUCCGGUGGUUCUGAAUGGAAGGGCCAUCGCUCAACGGAUAAAAGGUACUCCGGGGAUAACAGGCUGAUACCGCCCAAGAGUUCAUAUCGACGGCGGUGUUUGGCACCUCGAUGUCGGCUCAUCACAUCCUGGGGCUGAAGUAGGUCCCAAGGGUAUGGCUGUUCGCCAUUUAAAGUGGUACGCGAGCUGGGUUUAGAACGUCGUGAGACAGUUCGGUCCCUAUCUGCCGUGGGCGCUGGAGAACUGAGGGGGGCUGCUCCUAGUACGAGAGGACCGGAGUGGACGCAUCACUGGUGUUCGGGUUGUCAUGCCAAUGGCACUGCCCGGUAGCUAAAUGCGGAAGAGAUAAGUGCUGAAAGCAUCUAAGCACGAAACUUGCCCCGAGAUGAGUUCU
RNAcentral lists this ribosomal RNA (1569 nucleotides) under Salmonella enterica. RNAcentral describes it as "bacterial LSU rRNA". It matches the Rfam family "Bacterial large subunit ribosomal RNA", at positions 1260 to 2812 of the family's 2925-position model. The record is from RNAcentral. Lineage: Bacteria; Pseudomonadati; Pseudomonadota; Gammaproteobacteria; Enterobacterales; Enterobacteriaceae.